GUUGAGCAAACAUUCAGUAAGCACUAACCAUGACUAACAGCUACAUCAAUGCAUCACAAGAUAAUACCUUGGCAACAAAAUGCUCAUCUAACAGAAUGUUGCUCGAUUUGAUGUCUCUAUGGCAGAGUGGAGGGUUACAAAAGAAAUGGAGAUACUCCUGAAACAAGAAGACGACAUGAAAAUCCACCAUCAAGAAGUAAUGUUCGUAUCAAAGGAAGUUGUUUCAGCAUAAUCAAGUAUCAAAGGAACUGACAAAAAGCAGCUCAAAGAACCCCAGGAUAGAAUACAUGUGCAGGAGUCAUGAUGGGAGCUAGCACUGCCAAGCAUGAACUAUGGUCGACGGAAGUCUGAACAGACACCAAUAGAGUUUGUACAUGUAGCAUUAGUCAAUAUUGUCCUCCUUCGACGCCUAAACUACUACCCUUCCUCUUCUUCAGAACCUCCUCAGGGAAAGCAGUAAAGCACAAUUGCUUAAUUUUGGGAAUUUGAAAACAUAGGUCUAGCCUACUAAAGAUCAAGGUAUCGCCAAUUCGUCCAAAACAAGUUGACAAUGUGAACAACUAAAUUGUAUGUAGCAGGAUACAGAUCUGAGCUGGAAAUAUCUAUCUAUUCAGCAAUAUCACAUUGAUGUAACCAUACAGCAAGUGCAUGCCACCACAUCAGU
RNAcentral lists this long non-coding RNA (664 nucleotides) under Setaria viridis. Its description in RNAcentral is "long non-coding RNA (SVIR_LNC002503)". The record is from RNAcentral. Lineage: Eukaryota; Viridiplantae; Streptophyta; Magnoliopsida; Poales; Poaceae.